AAUAGAAUGUUCAAUGCCAGCUUGUACCAUUAAGUCAUUGACAUUCUUCUGUAAGUCCUCAAUGCGAUUUCCCAUUUCUUCCAGUACAGUGUUUAAUGUUGCAGUCAGAGCUUGAAAAUGUUCCUGAAGUUCCUGUAAUAGAUUUUCUGCCUGAAAAAAUAAACCGUAAGACAAUUGAAUAAAUA
Long non-coding RNA from Symphalangus syndactylus (siamang), 185 nucleotides. RefSeq lists it as uncharacterized. Lineage: Eukaryota; Metazoa; Chordata; Mammalia; Primates; Hylobatidae. The record is from RefSeq and is a predicted model, not a curated record.